This 460-nucleotide ribosomal RNA is filed under the name uncultured bacterium. RNAcentral's name for it is "partial 16S ribosomal RNA". It matches the Rfam family "Bacterial small subunit ribosomal RNA", at positions 338 to 795 of the family's 1533-position model. The record is from RNAcentral.
CCUACGGGUGGCAGCAGUGAGGAAUAUUGGUCAAUGGGCGCGAGCCUGAACCAGCCAUGCCGCGUGCGGGAAGACGGCUCUGUGUGUUGUAAACUGCUUUUGUCAGGGGGUAAACGCGGGUACGCGUAUCUGGCUGAGCGUACCGUACGAAUAAGGAUCGGCUAACUCCGUGCCAGCAGCCGCGGUAAUACGGAGGAUUCGAGCGUUAUCCGGAUUUAUUGGGGUUAAAGGGUGCGUAGUCGGGCGGGUAAGUUAGGGGUGAAAUCCCGGGGCUGAACUUCGGAGUCGCCGUUGAGACUGUCGGGCUAGAGUGGGGGAGCGGUAGGCGGAAUGCACGGUGUAGCGGUGAAAUGCUUAGAUAUCAGGCAGAACACCGAUUGCGAAGGCAGCGUACCGGGACACAACUGACGCUGAGGCACGAAAGCGUGGGGAGCAAACAGGAUUAGAUACCCUGGUAGUC